ACAUUAUUUCACAAGUUAACAAUAUUUUAUAUAGGUAUGGGUGGUUCUCCUCUCCUUAAUAUGGCUCCUUUUGGAGAUAAUCAGUUUUGGAGGGAAGCCAUCCUAUAUUUGGCACAUUUCACAAAAUUUCAUUUCAAAAUGUUCAUUCUUAAGUUUGCAUUUAGAUGCUUUGGGUCUGCUCGGACAAAGGCGACCCGAAGCGGAUUUAUGGAGAUAAUAUAUACAUGGAGUAUAUACGAGGAGUAUUAUACACAGUAUAUAUGGAGCUAUAUAUAUACUCAGGAGUAUAAUACAUGGAGAUUGGACAGUAUAUAUGGAGAUAUAUAUAUACUGAGGAGUAUUGAUAUUUUCAAUGGAGGUUGGAUAUAGUAUAUAUGGAGCUAUAUAUAUACUAGAUUAUGCGUGGUACAUAUGUAAAAUAAUAAUAAUAAUAAAUUGUAAUUACUUUAAGCAAGCGUGACACCAUCCUGUCAUUGAUGCCUAGAUUUUUCAAAAAUUCCAUGUGGCAACUCUUGAAAACCAGUGGAAUUCUAACUAUCUUUUACUGCGGUCAAUAAACUGCCAAAAUAUUACACUAAAUUACCAAUACAUGUUAUUUAACAGUAUUCAUACAAACAUGAAUAAAAUGACUGUGUACUUUUAA
Molecule: long non-coding RNA, 643 nt
Organism: Dreissena polymorpha
Lineage: Eukaryota; Metazoa; Mollusca; Bivalvia; Myida; Dreissenidae
Exons: 2
Source: RefSeq, a predicted model, not a curated record